This is an RNA transcript of Hippopotamus amphibius kiboko, 3494 nucleotides long. It is a transcript of the gene named kinesin family member 2C, with no coding region annotated. Lineage: Eukaryota; Metazoa; Chordata; Mammalia; Artiodactyla; Hippopotamidae. The transcript has 21 exons. The record is from RefSeq and is a predicted model, not a curated record.
GUUUACGCGGCGUUAAGACUUCGCAGUGUUAGCAGAGCUGUGAUUUUCUGGCAUUUCGCGUUUCUCUUCCCGGAGCUCCUGCCUGCCAUGGACUCGUCGCUUCUUCAGGCUCGCCUGAUUCCCGGUCUCGCCAUCAAGAUCCAACGCAGUAACGGCUUAAUUCACAGUGCCAAUGUAAGGACUGUGAACUUGGAAAGAUCCUGCGUUUCGGUGGAAUGGACAGAAGGAGGAGCCACAAAGGGCAAAGAGAUUGAUUUUGAUGAUGUGGCUGCAAUAAACCCAGAACUCUUACAGCUUCUUCCCUUACACCCGAAGGACAAUCUGCCCCUGCAGGAGAAUGUAACAGUUCAGAAACAAAAGCGCAGAUCAGUCAGCUCCAAAAUUCCUGCUCCAAAGGAAGGUCUCCGAGGCCGCUCCACGCGCAUGUCCACCGUCCCAGAGGUUCGCAUCACCACUCAGGAGAAUGAUAUGGAGGUGGAGCUGCCUGCAUCUGUACAUUCCCGCCAACAGUUUUCAGUUCCCACCGGCCCCCCUCGGCCCUCCUGCCCUGCAGUGGCUGAAAUACCAUUGACGAUGGUCAGCGAGGAGAUGGAAGAGCAAGUCCAUUCCGUCCGAGGCAGCUCUUCUGCAAACCCUGUGAACUCAGUUCGGAGGAAAUCAUGUAUUGUGAAGGAAAUGGAAAAAAUGAAGAACAAGCGAGAAGAGAAGAGAGCCCAGAACUCUGAAAUGAGAAUAAAGCGUGCUCAGGAGUAUGACAACAGCUUUCCAAACUGGGAAUUCGCCCGGAUGAUUAAAGAAUUUCGGGCUACUUUGGAAUGUCAUCCACUUACUGUGACUGAUCCUAUCGAAGAGCACAGGAUAUGUGUCUGUGUUAGGAAACGCCCACUGAAUAAACAAGAAUCGGCCAAGAAAGAAAUUGAUGUGAUUUCCAUUCCUAGCAAGUGUGUCCUCUUGGUACAUGAGCCCAAGUUAAAAGUGGACUUAACAAAAUAUCUGGAGAACCAAGCAUUCUGCUUUGACUUCGCAUUUGACGAAACGGCUUCAAAUGAAGUCGUCUACAGGUUCACUGCAAGGCCACUCGUGCAGACAAUCUUUGAAGGGGGAAAAGCAACCUGUUUUGCAUACGGCCAGACGGGAAGUGGCAAGACUCAUACAAUGGGUGGAGACCUCUAUGGGAAAGCCCAGAACGCAUCCAAAGGGAUCUAUGCAAUGGCCUCCCGGGACGUCUUCCUCCUGAAGAAUCAGCCCCGAUACCGGAACCUAGGCCUGGAAGUCUAUGUGACAUUCUUCGAGAUCUAUAAUGGGAAGCUGUUCGACCUGCUCAACAAGAAGGCCAAGCUGCGAGUGCUGGAGGAUGGCAAGCAGCAGGUGCAGGUGGUGGGGCUGCAGGAGCACCUGGUGAGCUGUGCUGAUGAUGUCAUCAAGAUGAUCGACAUGGGCAGUGCCUGCAGGACCUCUGGGCAGACAUUUGCCAAUUCCAACUCUUCCCGCUCCCACGCCUGCUUCCAAAUUCUUCUUCGAGCCAAAGGGAGAAUGCAUGGCAAGUUCUCUUUGGUGGAUCUGGCAGGGAACGAGCGAGGUGCAGACACUUCCAGUGCUGACCGGCAGACCCGCAUGGAGGGUGCAGAAAUCAACAAGAGUCUCCUGGCUCUGAAGGAGUGCAUCAGGGCCCUGGGACAGAACAAGGCUCACACCCCAUUCCGCGAGAGCAAGCUGACACAGGUGCUAAGGGAUUCCUUUAUCGGGGAGAACUCAAGGACCUGCAUGAUCGCCAUGAUCUCACCAGGCAUAAGCUCCUGUGAAUAUACUUUAAAUACUCUAAGAUAUGCAGACAGGGUCAAGGAGCUGAGCCCCCACAGUGGGCCCAGUGGGGAGCAGCCAACUCAGAUGGAAACAGAAGAGAUGGAAGCCAGCUCUAACAGGGCCCUGAGCGCAGGCAAUGAAGAGGAGGAUCUGUCUUCCCAGAUGUCCAGCUUCAAUGAAGCCAUGACUCAGAUCAGGGAGCUGGAGGAGAGGGCCAUGGAAGAGCUCAAGGAGAUUAUACAGCUGCUCCUCUUGCAGCUAAUUACCACACCUUCUCCAGCCUGGCACACAUAGGCUUUCCUCCAGCCUUCUGGCUGGAGCUAGUCUCCCCGCCAAGCUCCUGACUGAGGGUUUGGAGGGUAACCUUGUCUUGUUUGUUCAGUGAAUGUUUGGUGAGUACUUUCUAUAUUCCAGCUCCUGUGCUGAGACCAAGGGCCAAAAACAUGAAGUAGGGAUAAUAGGCCCUAAAGUAAGACUUGAUAAAUCCUGACUCUUCUAUUUAUAAGCUGAUUGCCUUGUGAAAGUCAUUGAGCCUUACUGGGCCCCCAGAUUCUUCAUCUCCAAAAUGGGCAAGACAAGAUGGUUACAUCUAAGGAUUAAAUGAUAGGUUUUUAAAGCACUCAGCUGUCCUCAGCAUGUGGUCAGUGUUUAGUAAUAAGAGGUAGAUGCUACCACUGCUGUGAUCCCUGCUGUGGAAGAGCAAGUGGGGGAGAGUCCCUAACAAUGGGGCUCUCAGAGCACAGAGCAGAGGGGAGAGCUCCGGGCACUUAGAACUGAGGAGGGAACAUACAGGAUAAGUGCCUACACAUGUCCUCCCCGCCUGGAGUGCUCCAGGUACAAACGUUGGAAAGGACCUGAUACUUUCAGGAAGAGUGAGAAGUUCACUCUGGCCAGAGCAAAAGGUGUGAGCAGAUGAGGGAAGGAGAUCAAGGCAGCAGACAGGUCAGCCGGGACCUGGUGCUAAAGGGCCUUAUGGUUCACGCCAAAGGCCUGGUCUUCGUUAUGAGGGCAGCGGAUGCCUUUGAAGGGAAUAAAGCAGAGUGCUGACAUGGUCACAUCAGAGCUUUCAGUACCUUACUGUGGCCAUAAUAAAGAGGCUGGCUUCGGGAUGUGGGGAGAGCAUGAGUAGAGGCAUUUAGGAGUUAAGAGCAGUUAGGAGAUUGUUAGGAGUUCAAGAGAGAUGUUGGUGCCUAGACCAGCUGUGACCAUGGCUAUGGGAUUGGAGUGAGGGCAUGAGAUUUAAGAACCAUUUUGGGGGUGGAAUUAGUAGGAUUGGGGGACAAGCAGGGUGAAAGAAGUUCUUGCUGAGAUUUCUGGCUUGAGCAUCAAGACAUUCAUUUGACAUGAGGGACAGGGACAGGUUUGGGGUGGGGAAGAGGAUGAAUUCAAGCUGAGUAGUUUUGGGAGAGGGUUAGGAGGCAGGGUAUGGGCCAUGGCUGGAGGAGAGGGCAUCUGCAUGGCAGGUGGUAGAGCCCUAGGAAUGAUUUGCUAAAUUGGUUUGGUCAUUAUUGACCUGACAAGGUUCACCCUGUGUUGUUGCAGCAAGGGCCAGGCUGGCUGGAGCUCUCUGAGAUGGCCGAGCAGCCAGACUACGACCUGGAGACCUUUGUGAAUAAAGCAGAGUGUGCCCUGGCCCAGCAAGCCAAGCAUUUCUCAGCCCUGCAAGAUGUCAUCAAGGCCUUGCGCCUGGC